RNAcentral lists this ribosomal RNA (253 nucleotides) under uncultured bacterium. RNAcentral's name for it is "partial 16S ribosomal RNA". It matches the Rfam family "Bacterial small subunit ribosomal RNA", at positions 524 to 776 of the family's 1533-position model. The record is from RNAcentral.
UACGAAGGGGGCUAGCGUUGCUCGGAAUCACUGGGCGUAAAGCGCACGUAGGCGGAUCGUUAAGUCAGGGGUGAAAUCCUGGAGCUCAACUCCAGAACUGCCUUUGAUACUGGCGACCUUGAGUUCGGGAGAGGUGAGUGGAACUGCGAGUGUAGAGGUGAAAUUCGUAGAUAUUAGGAAGAACACCAGUGGCGAAGGCGGCUCACUGGCCCGGUACUGACGCUGAGGCGCGAAAGCGUGGGGAGCAAACAGG